UAGAAAAAAUGGGUUAGAUAGAGAAGCUCUCAUCUCUCUCUAUAAAAAUUUCUUAAAAAUAUUUCCCAAAACUCUUUUUCUAUUACCUUUGGAUAUUCCCCACUUUCCUCUUUAAUAGAUUUAUGUCACACAAACCCUCUUACUGAGACAUAACUUCAAAUCAAAUCCCUACCUCCGAUCAUCCUAUGGAUGAAGGUUGUUUAACUACAGAACCGGACAAUUUGGAAGAUGAUCCUGUAAAUCUAUCGGUCGACGAUCGGAAUCGCCUUUAUACACCCUGGAAUUCCUCAGUGAUCUUGAAGGCAUUUGGGAGAAAAUUUACUCAACAAUACCUAAACACAAAAUUAGAAGCCUUAUGGAAGCUACCAGAACCUCUUUUCUUAUUUAUCUAGGUUUUGACUUUUUUACGGCAAAAUUCAAUAACCCAGAAAACCAAGAGUUAGUCCUCCAGGGUGGCCCUUGGUAUAUCGCCAGAAGUUUCUUGUCAGUCAGGUGGUGGGAAUCCAAUUUCAUCCCUAGUCAGACCCAUAUUAUCUCAACCGUAAUUUGGGUUCGUCUUCCCUAGUUACCCACUGAAUUCGACGACAUAGUCUUGCUGGAAAGGGUGGGUAGAAAACUUGGGAAACUUCUUAAGGUAGACUCCUGUACCUCUCCAACAAUCAAAGGUCGAUACAUACGUAUCUGUGUCCAAGUUGAUCUAGAAAAUCCAGUGAAAACAUCCAUCAUGAUUGGUAAUCAUAGGCAACUUCUAUUCUAUGGAGGAGAAAAGAUCCUUUGUAAAGUGUGUGGGUUUUGGGCGCAUACAACCUAAAAUUGCACUGAGAAGCUCACCAUAGGAAAACCAACCUCAGAAUCUCCAUCUUCCCCAAGGCGGCGAAGGUGACGGUCAAAGAGGAAUGGAAGACAGUUACUUUUGCUCGCAAGAGAAAUCCGAAACGAGACCAUGAUUUCUCCAAAAUGGUAUACCCCUCCCCCUGUUAAUGGUAAGAAAUCAGAGGAAGCCACGACAUGUAAGUCUCCUAACCUUCCUCUUAUAAAACCCAAGGUAGCCAUGGCUACUGGGAGCUUAACUCCUUUAGGGCAAUAGAGCCUGUCUAGACCUACUCGAGUCACCAAAUUAUCUGGGCCAACUUUGGCCCACUUACCCAAAGCCUAAGGUAUUUCUACUUUGGAUCUUAAUAUGCUUAAAUCCAACCGAUUUGGGCCUAUCUAAGAUGGGCUCCCAUCUUAUCCUGUUCAGAAUAGGUUCAUUUCCUCAAGGUUGGGUUUAAACCUUAAGCCUAGUUGCUUACUGGACCCAGUUCCUUCACUCAAGCCCUAUUUUCAUUUUAAAACAAAUUUUGAUAAUUUCUCCACUUCUACUCUUGCUGAACAAAAAAGAAAGCUCAUAAAUGGGUUCUAUCCUAGUGAGCUCAUCAUUACCCCUCAAGUGCCUCGGGAUAUUCUUGCUCCUAUGCCGGUCAAAAUUAUUUCCACUUCUCUAGGGGAUCUGAUGGAUAUCAUUAUUCCCCAGACAGAUUAUUAAAUAUUGAUGAUCUGUCCGAAGCAAAACCCGUUUGCUUUCCCUCCUCAGUUCUAACUUAAAAGAACAAAUGGACACCAUGCAAACUAUUUUCAUUUCUCACAAUGACUCCAACAUCUCCAAACAUGAUCACCAUGUUAACAAAUCUCACUCCUCCAUAUCACACCCCAAUAUCUUGGCUGGAAGUGUGUCUGUCCAAUCAGUACAUUCCCCUCUAUUUACAAUGGGAGGGGAAUCAAAUGACAAUCUUCAUCCAGGACCCCGGAUACAUAGCUCAACUUACAAUGGACCGUUUAAACCAGGGUCUUCAAAGCUUUUGUCCAAAUAUUUGGAUAGCGACUCUAUUCCAAAUCUUCAACUCCUCAUCUCCAGAAAACCUCACCCCACAAUAAUAAUGGAGUUGAUGUCUCUAACAAUCUUGAUUCUUCCCCUUUUUCCCCUACACACACCCUACUCUUGACUCAAGGACCUCUUUUUGUGAAUCUCAAUGGGGGGGAAACUUUCCAUCUAGUUUUUUUCUUAAAUACCCCCCAUCUUACCUCCCCCUUCUAUGAACCUAGAAGCCACGAAGUGGGAGAAAACCCUGACAACUCUGAGGGAAAGCAAUAAGGAUACGGAAAACUUGUUAGCCCAACUGAGAAUCCCCAAGAACGAUGUUAUCACUCUGUAAAGACCUAUAAGCGUGGACUUUGAAGGUUUGCUACACAAAAUGGUUAGUGCUCAGAAGGCUAGGAGGACCUCCCAUACACCAUAGCUACAGGGAGCAGAACAGUAUUGUAGAUGCUUUAGAAAAA
Molecule: long non-coding RNA, 2316 nt
Organism: Capsicum annuum
Lineage: Eukaryota; Viridiplantae; Streptophyta; Magnoliopsida; Solanales; Solanaceae
Exons: 2
Source: RefSeq, a predicted model, not a curated record